UGGUGACUAUAGCAAGGAGGUCACACCUGUUCCCAUGCCGAACACAGAAGUUAAGCUCCUUAGCGUCGAUGGUAGUCGAAAACGUCAAAAUAAAAAGUA
Molecule: ribosomal RNA, 99 nt
Filed under: Staphylococcus aureus
Lineage: Bacteria; Bacillati; Bacillota; Bacilli; Caryophanales; Staphylococcaceae
Source: RNAcentral